ACGCUGGCGGCAGGCCUAACACAUGCAAGUCGAGCGGAUGAAGGGAGCUUGCUCCUGGAUUCAGCGGCGGACGGGUGAGUAAUGCCUAGGAAUCUGCCUGGUAGUGGGGGAUAACGUUCCGAAAGGAACGCUAAUACCGCGUACGUCCUACGGGAGAAAGCAGGGGACCUUCGGGCCUUGCGCUAUCAGAUGAGCCUAGGUCGGAUUAGCUAGUUGGUGAGGUAAUGGCUCACCAAGGCGACGAUCCGUAACUGGUCUGAGAGGAUGAUCAGUCACACUGGAACUGAGACACGGUCCAGACUCCUACGGGAGGCAGCAGUGGGGAAUAUUGGACAAUGGGCGAAAGCCUGAUCCAGCCAUGCCGCGUGUGUGAAGAAGGUCUUCGGAUUGUAAAGCACUUUAAGUUGGGAGGAAGGGCUGUAGGCUAAUAUCCUGCGGUUUUGACGUUACCAACAGAAUAAGCACCGGCUAACUUCGUGCCAGCAGCCGCGGUAAUACGAAGGGUGCAAGCGUUAAUCGGAAUUACUGGGCGUAAAGCGCGCGUAGGUGGUUCGUUAAGUUGGAUGUGAAAGCCCCGGGCUCAACCUGGGAACUGCAUCCAAAACUGGCGAGCUAGAGUACAGUAGAGGGUAGUGGAAUUUCC
RNAcentral lists this ribosomal RNA (643 nucleotides) under Pseudomonas sp. OC-D1-11. RNAcentral's name for it is "bacterial SSU rRNA". It matches the Rfam family "Bacterial small subunit ribosomal RNA", at positions 33 to 671 of the family's 1533-position model. Lineage: Bacteria; Pseudomonadati; Pseudomonadota; Gammaproteobacteria; Pseudomonadales; Pseudomonadaceae. The record is from RNAcentral.